UUUUGGGAGAUAAACAGCUCUGGUUCAGUGGAAGAUGGUGAGGGGGCUCAGGUGGCUGCCGAUGAACUAGGUUUUGAGUGGAAUAAGCAAACAACUAGCUGUAGUUGGAUCAGUGGGUGAAAAAUUCAAGGAAAGAGGUUAAGGUGAGGGGAGAUCCAAAUUAAGGAGAGGCACGAUGAAAUCAAAUGGCCGGAGGAGACAAAUCCAAGAGAAACUCACACAUGUUCUUUACCUUUUGGGAGAUAAAAACGACUCUGGUUCAAUGAAGAUGGUGAGGGAGCUCAGGUGCUGCCGAUGAACUGGGUUUUGAGUGGAAUAGGCAACAACUAGCUGUAUUUGGAUCAGUGGGUGAAAAAUUCAAGGAAAGAGGUUAAGGUGAGGGAAGAUCCAGGCACGAGGGUAUGGAGGAUAGACGAAAGGAUGCAGUGAUGAACUGUUGAAGAUAAGGCAGGAGCGUCAUCUCUGACUAUGAGCUGCCAGCGGCUGCUAGUCUUGUGGGUCCCCAAACGUCCCCUCAUCUUUCUCUUUUCUUUUUUCUUUUUAGUUUUUCUUUCUUUUUUUUUCUCAAAGAGAAAGGGUCAAAUCCAAAGUACAGUUUGAGCUCUCAUGUAUGAGCCAGU
RNAcentral lists this long non-coding RNA (620 nucleotides) under Vitis vinifera (wine grape). Its description in RNAcentral is "long non-coding RNA (VVIN_LNC006296)". Lineage: Eukaryota; Viridiplantae; Streptophyta; Magnoliopsida; Vitales; Vitaceae. The record is from RNAcentral.